Molecule: ribosomal RNA, 166 nt
Filed under: uncultured Syntrophaceae bacterium
Lineage: Bacteria; Pseudomonadati; Thermodesulfobacteriota; Syntrophia; Syntrophales; Syntrophaceae
Description: partial 16S ribosomal RNA
Rfam family: Bacterial small subunit ribosomal RNA
Source: RNAcentral
ACACGUGCUACAAUGGGCGGUACAAAGAGCAGCGAGCUCGGCGAGAGUAAGCAAAUCUCAAAAAGCCGUCCUCAGUUCGGAUUGGAGUCUGCAACUCGACUCCAUGAAGUUGGAAUCGCUAGUAAUCGCGGAUCAGCAUGCCGCGGUGAAUACGUUCCCGGGCCUU